UUGACUGGCUUUGCUUUUCUUCUUGGUGCAAUAGUUGAUAAACAGCCAGCGCCUGUGGCCUCUCAAAGCUUGUCCAAGUCUCCCUAGGGGACAGAGGAACUAUGUAAGUUGCCUCCUGGGAUUCAUAAAGGAAGAUGGCAUCAGGGCCAAACACUUUGGAAAACACGUCACAGGCCAGCAGUGUGUGACCAACCCAGUGCCUUUGUGGCCGAUGGAUCCACACACCUGGACCAACCCAAAAUCCGAGUUGAGUUGUAAAACAAGGUCAGCCUGUGAGGGGCCCUUCUCCAUCUGCCGAGGAUAGUCUGUCUGGAACCAAGGAGAAAGAUGGUCUUGGCAGGAGGCUCCCUUGGCCUGGCAGGCUGGAUAGAGUCACAGUCCAUAGCCAAGGUCAAAAUAUAUUUAGCCAGCGGCAGUUAAAUGGAAACAUUCUAACUUAAAAAAAAAAUGUCAGAGGACCUGACUAAUUAUCUCAACAGGCAGGAAAUGACGCGCAGCAAGAAAACACCAACCGAAAUACCAACGGCCCCUUCCACCCUGAAACAGGAGCACAGGAACCAGGGAGAAAGGAGCAGUGGAGGCAGGGCGCGGGCAGCAAGGGGGCAGCGAGAGUGACCAGAGGACGCUGCGGGGCCUCAGCACUGGGCAAUGCCACCCGGUCCCAACUCCCAGUGGGCACUUGAAAAGAAGGCCUGGCUCUCCUGAGGCCACCGUCAGGCCCACAGGCCAGGACCUGGCCAGCAGAUGCUGCGUGGGAUGGUCCCCUCACAGAAUGGCCUGUCCCUGGCAGGAAAGAAACUCUGCUUUCAGACCCCUCCUGAUUCUCUGCCCACAGCAGGGGUGGCUCCAAGGGUACCUCCCUGGCACCCAGCCUGGAGCCUCCAGUCCCCCUCCAGGUGGCUACCUCUUCAUGAUCCUCCUCACCCUCUGCUGUAGCCACACCCUCUGGUGACAAUACAAAGUCCCAAGUAUCCACCUCCUACACUCAAAGCCCAAAGCAGGUGGAAUUCUCCUUCACCAUCUCUAACUAAAAUCCAUAACACCCCAGAGGGCAAACUGUGCCCAGUUUUUCAUGAAUGCUUCACCCUUCCCAGGAUGCCUGGUCCCUCCUUCAGACUCCACACACUAUGCACGCCAUGUCUCUGUACCUUUGCACAUGCUAUUCCCUCUGCUGGAUGCCUUUCCCUGCCCUGCCUAAUGAACUCCCACUGGACCUUCACCUCUUCUGCGGUGCCUCCCCUGCCUGGCUCUAGCCCCUUUCACUCUCUAGCACCAUCUGUGCAGGGGUGCUGGGGAAGGGCCCUGCUUUCUGAAAUGUCAGCUCUCGCGCAAUCUUAC
Molecule: long non-coding RNA, 1338 nt
Filed under: Marmota monax (woodchuck)
Lineage: Eukaryota; Metazoa; Chordata; Mammalia; Rodentia; Sciuridae
Source: RNAcentral